GGUGCCUUCCGAGUUCCCUGGAACGGGACGCCAUAGAGGGUGAGAGCCCCGUACGGUCGCGCGCUAAGCCUCUGUGAAACUCCUUCGACGAGUCGAGUAGUUUGGGAAUGCUGCUCUAAAUGGGAGGUGUACGUCUUCUAAAGCUAAAUACCGGCCAGAGACCGAUAGCGCACAAGUAGAGUGAUCGAAAGAUGAAAAGCACUUUGAAAAGAGGGUUAAACAGUACGUGAAAUUGUUGAAAGGGAAGCGGUUACGACCAGACUUGGGCCCGGCUAAUCAUCCAGCGUUCUCGCUGGUGCACUUGGCCGGCCCAGGCCAGCAUCAGUUUGCCCCGGGGGAUAAAGGCUUCGGGAAUGUGGCUCCCUAGGGAGUGUUAUAGCCCGUUGCGUAAUACCCUGUGGCGGACUGAGGUACGCGCUCCGCAAGGAUGCUGGCGUAAUGGUCGUCACCGACCCGUCUUGAAACACGGACCAAGGAGUCGUCUUCGUAUGCGAGUGUUCGGGUGUCAAACCCCUGCGCGUAAUGAAAGUGAACGUAGGUGAGAGCUUCGGCGCAUCACCGACCGAUCCUGAUGUUCUCGGAUGGAUUUGAGUAAGAGCAUACGGGGCCGGACCCGAAAGAAGGUGAACUAUGCCUGUAUAGGGUGAAGCC
Molecule: ribosomal RNA, 651 nt
Filed under: Ijuhya lilliputiana
Lineage: Eukaryota; Fungi; Ascomycota; Sordariomycetes; Hypocreales; Bionectriaceae
Description: eukaryotic LSU rRNA
Rfam family: Eukaryotic large subunit ribosomal RNA
Source: RNAcentral